This 88-nucleotide transfer RNA is filed under the name marine bacterium AO1-C. It matches the Rfam family "tRNA". From Rfam's summary of the family: Transfer RNA (tRNA) molecules are approximately 80 nucleotides in length. Their secondary structure includes four short double-helical elements and three loops (D, anti-codon, and T loops). The record is from Rfam by way of RNAcentral. Lineage: Bacteria; Pseudomonadati; Bacteroidota; Cytophagia; Cytophagales; Cytophagaceae.
GUGGAUAUAGCUUAAUGGUAAAGCGACUGCUUGAAAACCAGCCCCAAAUAUUAAGCUAGGAAAAUUGGUUCAAUUCCCGUUAUCCACA